AGAGUUUGAUCCUGGCUCAGAUUGAACGCUGGCGGCAGGCUUAACACAUGCAAGUCGAGCGGUAACAGGGAUAGCUUGCUAUCUGCUGACGAGCGGCGGACGGGUGAGUAAUGCUUGGGAAUAUGCCUUUGAGUGGGGGACAACAGUUGGAAACGACUGCUAAUACCGCAUAACGUCUACGGACCAAAGGGGGGGAUCUUCGGACCUCUCGCUCAUUGAUUAGCCCAAGUGAGAUUAGCUAGUUGGUAAGGUAAUGGCUUACCAAGGCGACGAUCUCUAGCUGGUUUGAGAGGAUGAUCAGCCACACUGGGACUGAGACACGGCCCAGACUCCUACGGGAGGCAGCAGUGGGGAAUAUUGCACAAUGGGCGAAAGCCUGAUGCAGCCAUGCCGCGUGUGUGAAGAAGGCCUUCGGGUUGUAAAGCACUUUUAGUUGUGAGGAAAGGGGUGUAGUUAAUAGCUGCAUCCUGUGACGUUAACAACAGAAGAAGCACCGCUAACUU
This 503-nucleotide ribosomal RNA is filed under the name uncultured bacterium. RNAcentral describes it as "bacterial SSU rRNA". It matches the Rfam family "Bacterial small subunit ribosomal RNA", at positions 8 to 503 of the family's 1533-position model. The record is from RNAcentral.